AGUUUGAAAGGCGGCGCAAGCUGUCACUUUAGGAUGAGCCCGCGGCGCAUUAGCUAGUUGGUGGGGUAAAGGCCUACCAAGGCAAUGAUGCGUAGCCGAGUUGAGAGACUGAUCGGCCACAUUGGGACUGAGACACGGCCCAAACUCCUACGGGAGGCAGCAGUAGGGAAUCUUCCACAAUGGACGCAAGUCUGAUGGAGCAACGCCGCGUGAGUGAAGAAGGUCUUCGGAUCGUAAAGCUCUGUUGUUGGUGAAGAAGGAUAGAGGCAGUAACUGGUCUUUACUUGACGGUAAUCAACCAGAAAGUCACGGCUAACUACGUGCCAGCAGCCGCGGUAAUACGUAGGUGGCAAGCGUUGUCCGGAUUUAUUGGGCGUAAAGCGAGCGCAGGCGGUUUUUUAAGCUGAUGUGAAAGCCCUCGGCUUAACCGAGGAAGUGCAUCGGAAACUGGGAAACUUGAGUGCAGAAGAGGACAGUGGAACUCCAUGUGUAGCGGUGAAAUGCGUAGAUAUAUGGAAGAACACCAGG
This 528-nucleotide ribosomal RNA is filed under the name uncultured Bacilli bacterium. RNAcentral's name for it is "bacterial SSU rRNA". It matches the Rfam family "Bacterial small subunit ribosomal RNA", at positions 197 to 713 of the family's 1533-position model. The record is from RNAcentral. Lineage: Bacteria; Bacillati; Bacillota; Bacilli.